CCCUUAGAUGUUCUGGGCUGCACGCGCGCUACACUGAAGCGUUCAACGAGUAUUCACCUUGCCCGGGAGGGCUGGGUAAUCUUUGAACGCUGUUCGUGAUUGGGAUAGACCUUUGCAAUUAUGGGUCUUCAACGAGGAAUUCCUAGUAAACGCAAGUCAUCAGCUUGCAUUGAUUACGUCCCUGCCCUUUGUACACACCGCCCGUCGCACCUACCGAUUGAAUGGUCCGGUGAAAUCUCGGGACGGCGGCUUGGUCGCUUGCGUCCGACUGCUGAAACUUGAUUAAACCAUAUCAUUUAGAGGAAGGUGAAGUCGUANCA
This 320-nucleotide ribosomal RNA is filed under the name uncultured eukaryote. RNAcentral describes it as "partial 18S ribosomal RNA". It matches the Rfam family "Eukaryotic small subunit ribosomal RNA", at positions 1470 to 1796 of the family's 1831-position model. The record is from RNAcentral.